GCCGGUAGUUUUGUCCUCAACAGAGACAUUGAGGAUACCAUUGGCAUCAAUGUCAAAGUAUAUCUUUACUCUUUAACAAGUGGGAAGAUUUAUACUGUAGCUUAUGAAUAGUACUCUCAUGUGCCAAUUCCCACGUGUGAUUACCAAUUUCAAUUCUUUUUUAUUUUUCUUUAUUUUUUUUUGUCUCCAACUUUCUCAUGUUUCCAUUUCUCUCUCCUCUCUCCCCUAUUGAUCUUCCAUUACAGAUCUGAUUGAAGAGUUUCUGAAAUUUCUCUCUCCUGGUUUAUCUCUUUCAUCUUCUCUAUUCCUCACUUCGCUUCUCAAACGGGUAAAAUCCUUCCUAUCUGAUUGUUGCAUUUUUUUCGAUGUUGUUUGCAAUUUAGCAACAAUUAAUUGUUUCUUAAUUAAUGAUGUUGAGUUUGAAAUUUUCGACUAUAUGAGCCCUUCUAAUCUAAUACAUCACUGGAUUACUGGAAUAGAUCGAAUUAAGUAAUUAACACAAAAUAUUUUAAUUGCUUUAAAUUUAUCUUCGACCUUGUUUGGAAUUUAGCAACAAUUAAUUGUUGCUUAAUUAAAGAUGUUGAGUUUGAAUUUUUUGAUUAUGCAAGCCCUUCUUAUACAUCACUCCUAGAUGAGAAUUAGAUUACUGGAAUAGAAUUAACACAUUUUUUUUAUUGCUUUAAAUUUACUUGAAGGUUAUGUAUAAACUUGCAUGUCAAGUGCGAAACGAAAGAAUUACGCUGAAAAAUUACACCUUCAGCUCUUUUCUCCUCUUCUUCAAUUUCUUCCAUUCAUGAGAAUUUUUUGUUUCAAACCCCAAAAAUAGAGGAUGAGAAUUAUGAAAACAGAGAGAGGGGUGAAUCGUCUCAAUCCCAACUUAUUUUAUGUGGAAUUUGUUAGAUUACAAGGAAAGUUCAGAUAUUUUCAAAGGUUUGACUAAUUUUAAUCAUUUAUUUUGCACUGAUUGCAUAAUAAAAAGUGUCGCGUUGAAGAUUAGGGAAAACUGUGAUAUGGUAAAAUGCCCUGAUCCCAAGUGCAAGCUAGCUAUAGAACCAGAAAAUUGCAGCUUAAUUUUACCUAAAGAGGUGUUUGUGAGGUGGAAAAAUGCUCUUUUUGAACAAUUAUUCAUGGGGGGCAGAAAUUUACUGUCCGUAUACAAAUUGCUCUGUUUUAAUGGUGGGUGAUGGUGGGGUGGAGGUCAGAGAAUCGGAGUGUCUGAGUUGUAGGAGGUUGUUUUGCCCAAGGUGCAAAAUUCCGUGGCACGACGGCAUAACCUGCGAGGAGUUUGAUGUGUUGGGAAAGAUGAGAGAGAGAAGGAGGAUAUGAUGGCGAUGAAUCUUGCUAAAGGUAAACAAUGAAGGAGGUGCCCUAAUUGUAGGAUUUACGUGGAGAAGGCUGAUGGUUGUCUUCAUAUAACUUGCAGCAUAUUACUGAGCUGGAUGAGAAAUGAGGUUCAACAUUGGAGCUGAUAACAAGUUUUAACAUUCCUCCUUGCUGUGUUAGUACCAAAUGCAUUGUGUUUACAGGUUCAUAGUUCUGUAUGGUUACGAACAGAUUACUGCUGUUAAACUUGAAACAAUCCCGAUGUUACAAUUUUCUCCGGUGAUUAAUUUGAUAGUUAUGCGAAUUAAUCUUAUGCUUAAA
Molecule: long non-coding RNA, 1644 nt
Organism: Spinacia oleracea (spinach)
Lineage: Eukaryota; Viridiplantae; Streptophyta; Magnoliopsida; Caryophyllales; Amaranthaceae
Exons: 2
Source: RefSeq, a predicted model, not a curated record